GAUGAACGCUGGCGGCAGGCUUAACACAUGCAAGUCGAACGGGCGUAGCAAUACGUCAGUGGCAGACGGGUGAAUAACACGUGGGAACCUUCCUCGUAGUACGGAACAACUCAGGGAAACUUGAGCUAAUACCGUAUACGUCCGAGAGGCGAAAGAUUGAUCGCUAUGAGACGGGCCCGCGUCCGAUUAGCUCGUUGGUGGGGUAACGGCCUACCAAGGCAACGAUCGGUAGCUGAUCUGAGAGGAUGAUCAGCCACACUGGGACUGAGACACGGCCCAGACUCCUACGGGAGGCAGCAGUGGGGAAUCUUGGACAAUGGGCGAAAGCCUGAUCCAGCCAUGCCGCGUGAGUGAAGAAGGCCUUAGGGUUAUAAAGCUCUUUUGGCAGGGACGAUAAUGACGGUACCUACAGAAUAAGCCCCGGCAAACUUCGUGCCAGCAGCCGCCGUAA
RNAcentral lists this ribosomal RNA (451 nucleotides) under uncultured bacterium. RNAcentral describes it as "partial 16S ribosomal RNA". It matches the Rfam family "Bacterial small subunit ribosomal RNA", at positions 28 to 523 of the family's 1533-position model. The record is from RNAcentral.